Molecule: long non-coding RNA, 1687 nt
Organism: Talpa occidentalis (Iberian mole)
Lineage: Eukaryota; Metazoa; Chordata; Mammalia; Eulipotyphla; Talpidae
Exons: 3
Source: RefSeq, a predicted model, not a curated record
GAGACUGGCGAUGAUCCUGGCUUUGUCUCCACUCCUCACGUACCCCUGUCCUAUACCAAGCCCCUGCUUCCUUCCCCGGGUACUGCGUUGAUCUGCCAGGCUGGCCCGGACAUUUGUAGCCCAGCGUGGGGCCCGGGUACGAGGAAGAACUACAGAGGGAGAAGACGCCCGAAAAAGAAGCUAUAGCUCAGGAGGAAGCCUUACCGACGUGGGACCCUGCUGCGUCGUGGAUAAGCAUGGUGACCGCUUCCUGGCUCAUCCUCUGUGCUGAGGUGUUACUUUUCUCCUCGGCCUUCGCCGGCUUUGGAGACACAGGCCAACUGAUGUCCUUGACUGAAGCACUGUACGGAAAUCCCCUGCAAGUCGGCCACUGGCCUCUACCUUGCUGACCACCUGUGGUGCUAACAAAAAGGAGAAAUGCUGUUUCUACGCCAACAAAUCAGGAAUCGUCCACAAUAAAAUCCGACAGUUACAAGAUGACCUGGAAAGAAGACACCAGGACCUAGCUGAAAACCCACUCUGGACCGGUCUCAACGGACUCUUACCCUACCUUCUUGCCCUCAUGGGUCCCCUAUUAACCCUUUUGAUAUUGGUUGUCAUGGGUCCUUGCAUUUUUAACAGGAUAAUCUCUUUUGUAAGACAACAGAUUCAGGCCCUUCAGGCAAAACCCAUUCAGGUACAUUACCAUAAGUUGGAGAUGCGAGAUAAGGGAGGCUCUUACUCAGACAUAUGCUCAGUCUGAAGAAAUAAGACCCCCUUCCCCUGUGCGAUGGACUGGUCAGCCAAUGACGGGUAAGAUCGGGGGCAUACUCAAAAUGGCUUGAGGUGACAGGCGCAUUCCCCGAGGGGUUUUGUCUUUUCGCUCUCCCAUCAGAAAUAAUACAAAAGGAGGAUCUGUCUGGGCCCAGACCUGGGGCCCAGACCUGAACAUCCAGGUUCUUGCCUGAAGCAGGUACUGAAUGUUAGCUCCAGUGAAGGUUUCAAGUUUCCUAUUGUGACUGAACCCUUCCCCCUGCUUGCUCCUUGUGGCUUGUUUGCAUUGGUGGUCUUGUUGUAGAGCAACCCUGAUACAAAACGGGGUGCCUGACUGUGGGUCCUCACCCGCGCGCUUAAAAGGACUUAUCAAUGCUCUACUGCAGGCACACGUGAAAGGUUAAUAAAAGGUUUAUUUACAAGGGAAGGGGAAAUGAGGAAAUGUACAGCUCUGGGAGAAAAGUGGGAGACAAAGUUUUAAAUGAGUCCUACCCGAUCCACCGAUCAGGAAUCCCAAAAUGGCGCUCUCAGAGUUGGCCGCCAGCCAGGAGCGAUGAGGCCAGGAGGCGAGCGAUCGCGAGCCAGCGAGACCCCAAGGCCCACGUGUUUGGUUUUUAUAUCCAACCUGGCUGCCCAACUCCACCCUCAGGUCCCAGCCACCCUCCCUUUGGUGGUGAUGGGAUUUGUCUUUCCCAAUGUCUUGAUGGCUAUAGUCUGGAGUGGGGGUGGGGUCCACAAAGCCUGUAUGGGAUUAGCUCAGGACAUCAUUUCCCCCUAACAGUCUCUCCUUGUUAGAGAUAACAAGAGACCUCCUCCUCUGAACCCUAUAUAACCUUGUACACAUUCCUGAAUAAAUGAGACUGGCAAUGAUCCUGGCUUUGUCUCCACUCCUUGCGUACCCCUGUCCUAUACCAAGCCCCUGCUUCCUCCCCCG